Molecule: ribosomal RNA, 478 nt
Filed under: uncultured bacterium
Lineage: Bacteria
Description: partial 16S ribosomal RNA
Rfam family: Bacterial small subunit ribosomal RNA
Source: RNAcentral
GACGAACGCUGGCGGCGUGCUUAACACAUGCAAGUCGAACGGUAAGGCCCUUCGGGGUACACGAGUGGCGAACGGGUGAGUAACACGUGGGUGAUCUGCCCUGCACUUCGGGAUAAGCCUGGGAAACUGGGUCUAAUACCGGAUAGGACCACUGCCUGCAUGGGUGGUGGUGGAAGUCUUUUGUGGUGUGGGAUGGGCCCGCGGCCUAUCAGCUUGUUGGGGGGGUGAUGGCCUACCAAGGGGACGACGGGUAGCCGGCCUGAGAGGGUGACCGGCCACACUGGGACUGAGAUACGGCCCAGACUCCUACGGGAGGCAGCAGUGGGGAAUAUUGCACAAUGGGCGCAAGCCUGAUGCAGCGACGCCGCGUGAGGGAUGACGGCCUUCGGGUUGUAAACCUCUUUCAGCACCGACGAAGCGCAAGUGACGGUAGGUGCAGAAGAAGGACCGGCCAACUACGUGCCAGCCGCCGCCGUAA